Molecule: microRNA precursor, 195 nt
Filed under: Oryza glumipatula
Lineage: Eukaryota; Viridiplantae; Streptophyta; Magnoliopsida; Poales; Poaceae
Description: MIR812 microRNA precursor family
Rfam family: MIR812 microRNA precursor family
Source: Rfam by way of RNAcentral
AAUAUGGUUUCCGUGUCCAACGUUUGACUGUUCUUCUUAUUUGAAAAAAUUAUGAAAAAAAUUAAAAAGAUAAGUCAUGUAUAAAGUAUUAAUCAUGUUUUAUCAUCUAACAACAAUGAAAAUACUAAUUAUAAAAAAAUUUCAUAUAAGACGGACAAUCAAACGUUGGCAUGGAAACCCAGGGUUUGUCUUUUU